UACGGGGGGAGCAAGCGUUGUUCGGAAUCACUGGGCGUAAAGGGCGUGUAGGCGGUUCGGUAAGUGGGAUGUGAAAUCCCCGGGCUCACCCCGGGACCUGCAUCCCAAACUGCUGAGCUUGAGUACAGGAGAGGGUGGGGGAAUUCCAGGUGUAGCGGUGAAAUGCGUAGAUAUCUGGAGGAACACCGGUGGCGAAGGCGCCCACCUGGCCUGCUACUGACGCUGAUGCGCGAAAGCUAGGGGAGCAAACGGG
Molecule: ribosomal RNA, 253 nt
Filed under: uncultured bacterium
Lineage: Bacteria
Description: partial 16S ribosomal RNA
Rfam family: Bacterial small subunit ribosomal RNA
Source: RNAcentral